This 512-nucleotide ribosomal RNA is filed under the name uncultured bacterium. Its description in RNAcentral is "partial 16S ribosomal RNA". It matches the Rfam family "Bacterial small subunit ribosomal RNA", at positions 28 to 523 of the family's 1533-position model. The record is from RNAcentral.
GACGAACGCUGGCGGCGUGCCUAAUACAUGCAAGUCGAGCGGAUCUUCAUUAGCUUGCUUUUGAAGAUCAGCGGCGGACGGGUGAGUAACACGUGGGCAACCUGCCUGUAAGACUGGGAUAACUUCGGGAAACCGGAGCUAAUACCGGACAAUCCUUUUCCUCUCAUGAGGAAAAGCUGAAAGACGGUUGCGGCUGUCACUUACAGAUGGGCCCGCGGCGCAUUAGCUAGUUGGUGAGGUAACGGCUCACCAAGGGGACGAUGCGUAGCCGACCUGAGAGGGUGCUCGGCCACACUGGGACUGAGACACGGCCCAGACUCCUACGGGAGGCAGCAGUAGGGAAUCUUCCGCAAUGGACGAAAGUCUGACGGAGCAACGCCGCGUGAGCGAUGAAGGCCUUCGGGUCGUAAAGCUCUGUUGUCAGGGAAGAACAAGUACCGGAGUAACUGCCGGUACCUUGACGGUACCUGACCAGAAAGCCACGGCUAACUACGUGCCAGCAGCCGCCGUAA